AUUCAACAGAUAUUUAACAGAUUAAUUUUAUAGAGAACUUGAGUGGGUAACAGUACCAUUUAACUACUUUUGAUGCAAUUUCUCUAGGAAUUAAGCUGUGCAAUCCUGGCUCUCCAAACUCACCUUGAGCCUGCCUGGGAGCUGAUCUCACCAUGACUAGCUGCAGGUACAUUGGGAAUUCCUGAGCUCUCUUUCCAGGUGCAGAGGCAAGGGGGAAGCUGAGGAAGAGGAGGAGCUGCUUUGCAGAGCACUCAGAGGAAGGCAGGGAGUGCCAAAGCCUUGGCAUUGAACUCCCACAAAACGAUGAGUCAUGUGGAGCUGGUUGUUUCCUUGAGAAUAGCAAGGAGGAGGUGAAAAUCAUCUUUUGAAUUCAAGAGCCCAGGAGUGCCACGUGUGAAUUUAAUUUUACACAGAACCUAUGGCGCAAAGGUCCCCUGAUGCUUGAAGAGGAUCAGGAACUGCUUGGAGGACUCAGGAAUCCCACCCAAAACUGGAGCCAUUCCCCCAACAGGCACUCUGAAAUUGCCAUCAGCAGAAGCUGUUUGAAAAGGUAAGUGACUGCAAGCAAGAGAUAGAAUUAGCAUCAUCUGUUCUUUAAAACUACACCUGCCAUUAAAGUUUUAAAGAAAUGAGAUCUUAGCUGAAAUCAUCUUUGUAAUUUACUAACACUCAUUUCC
RNAcentral lists this long non-coding RNA (677 nucleotides) under Junco hyemalis (dark-eyed junco). RNAcentral describes it as "lncRNA (ENSJHYG00000013103.1)". Lineage: Eukaryota; Metazoa; Chordata; Aves; Passeriformes; Passerellidae. The record is from RNAcentral.